This 81-nucleotide transfer RNA is filed under the name Rheum officinale. Its description in RNAcentral is "tRNA-Leu". The stretch from base 13 to 81 matches the Rfam family "tRNA", at positions 1 to 60 of the family's 71-position model. From Rfam's summary of the family: Transfer RNA (tRNA) molecules are approximately 80 nucleotides in length. Their secondary structure includes four short double-helical elements and three loops (D, anti-codon, and T loops). RNAcentral also lists the same sequence under 1 other name. Lineage: Eukaryota; Viridiplantae; Streptophyta; Magnoliopsida; Caryophyllales; Polygonaceae. The record is from RNAcentral.
GAUUUAAAACAAGCCGCUAUGGUGAAAUCGGUAGACACGCUGCUCUUAGGAAGCAGUGCUAGAGCAUCUCGGUUCGAGUCC